GAUGAACGCUGGCGGCGUGCUUAACACAUGCAAGUCGAGCGAGAAGUUUUGAAAAGAUUCUUCGGAUCGAAUUUAAAAUGGAAAGCGGCGGACGGGUGAGUAACGCGUAGGCAACCUGCCCCAUACAAAGGGAUAGCAUUUGGAAACGAAUAUUAAUACCUUAUGAAACUUAACUAGUGCAUGCUAGGUAGGUCAAAGAUUUAUCGGUAUGGGAUGGGCCUGCGUCUGAUUAGCUAGUUGGUGAGGUAACGGCUCACCAAGGCGACGAUCAGUAGCCGACCUGAGAGGGUGAACGGCCACAUUGGAACUGAGACACGGUCCAAACUCCUACGGGAGGCAGCAGUGGGGAAUAUUGCACAAUGGGGGAAACCCUGAUGCAGCAACGCCGCGUGAACGAUGAAGGCCUUUGGGUCGUAAAGUUCUGUUCUAGGUGAUGAAAACUGACAGUAACCUAGGAGAAAGCCCCGGCUAACUCCGUG
Molecule: ribosomal RNA, 479 nt
Filed under: uncultured bacterium
Lineage: Bacteria
Description: partial 16S ribosomal RNA
Rfam family: Bacterial small subunit ribosomal RNA
Source: RNAcentral